ACCCUCAUAGUAAAAUGGAUAUUACGGGUUCCUCCUAAGAAUCAAGUGCAGGUUCGAUUCCUGCUGAGGGUGCCA
This 75-nucleotide transfer RNA is filed under the name [Clostridium] innocuum. RNAcentral's name for it is "tRNA-Arg". It matches the Rfam family "tRNA". Rfam says of the family: Transfer RNA (tRNA) molecules are approximately 80 nucleotides in length. Their secondary structure includes four short double-helical elements and three loops (D, anti-codon, and T loops). The record is from RNAcentral. RNAcentral also lists the same sequence under 2 other names. Lineage: Bacteria; Bacillati; Bacillota; Clostridia; Eubacteriales; Clostridiaceae.